ACGGCUCAGUAACACGUGGUCAAGCUAACCUAUGGACGUGGAUAACCUCGGGAAACUGAGAAUAAACCGCGAUAGAUUCAUGAUGCCUGGAAUGGCUCAUGGUCGAAAUAGUUUACUGCCGUAGGACGCGACUGCGGCCUAUCAGUUUGUUGGUGAGGUAAUGGCCCACCAAGACUAUUACAGGUACGGGCUCUGAGGGGAGAAGCCCGGAGAUGGGUACUGAGACACGGACCCAGGCCCUAUGGGGCGCAGCAGGCGAGAAACCUUAGCAAUGUGCGAAAGCACGACUGGGUUAGUCCGAGUGAUUCCUGCUAAAGGAAUCUUUUACCGGUCCUAAAAGCACCGGUGAAUAAGGGGUGGGCAAGUCUGGUGUCAGCCGCCGCGGUAAUACCAGCACCUCGAGUGAUCAGGACGUUUAUUAGGCCUAAAGCAUCCGUAGCCUGUUCUGUAGGUCUUCUGUUAAAUCCAGCGGCUUAACCGUUGGCGGGCAGAGGAUACCGCAGGACUAGGAGGCGGGAGAGGUGGGCGGUACUCCACGUGUAGGGGUAAAAUCCUUUGAUCCGUGGAAGACCACCAGUGGCGAAGGCGGCCCACCAGAACGCGCUCGACGGUGAGGGAUGAAAGCUGGGGGAGCGAACCGGAUUAGAUACCCGGGUAGUCCCAGCUGUAAACGAUGCAAACUCGGUGAAGCAUUGGCUUAAUGCUAAUGCUGUGCCGCAGGGAAGCCGUUAAGUUUGCCGCCUGGGAAGUACGGUCGCAAGAUUGAAACUUAAAGGAAUUGGCGGGGGAGCACCACAAGGGGUGAAGCCUGCGGUUCAAUUGGAUUCAACGCCGGG
RNAcentral lists this ribosomal RNA (836 nucleotides) under uncultured archaeon. RNAcentral describes it as "bacterial SSU rRNA". It matches the Rfam family "Archaeal small subunit ribosomal RNA", at positions 85 to 922 of the family's 1478-position model. The record is from RNAcentral.